Rattus norvegicus (Norway rat) is the source of this 822-nucleotide long non-coding RNA. RefSeq lists it as uncharacterized. The record is from RefSeq and is a predicted model, not a curated record. Lineage: Eukaryota; Metazoa; Chordata; Mammalia; Rodentia; Muridae.
CAGAUAUAUGUUGAAUCUACUGUCUGUGAACCUUCUGCUAGUCCUCUAUCACAUUCAUGGGACUUAAGGCACCAUAGUAACAAGAAAUUACCCCAAGUGGCAGUGGGAGUGUCCUGACUCUUCUGCCUGACUUUAGAACACGUUUCUUCUGACUGGUUUGGUACACCUAGCCAUCAUAUGAAGGCCAGUGCAUUCAGUCAUGAAGAACAGAAGUUUCAGCCAAUAAACUUGCCUUUUGCCAGUUACUCAACUCACUAUGGUAUCCAUGAAAAAGAUAAAUGUAGUAGGAAGAUCUUCAAAGCCCCUCCUCCAAAUACAUACUCUGUGGCUCACUAUGUCUGUAACUUUCCUUGGAAGGUACUGUCUGAAAAGUAUGAAUGUGGAGAAUCUGCAGUUUCUUAUUUAAGUACUUCAAUCUUAUGCAAUAUUUACUCAAGCAUGUCCAUCUGUCAUUCAUGUAAAAAAUGCAGAUUAUCAGUUAACUCUGAACUGGAAAAUACUCGUGUGAGAUAUUUAAGUUCAUGCUCUUGAAGCUACACAGAAAUCAAGGAGCAUCAUUUAUCAUCUCAUCUCAUGUUUGCAGAGGUUUCUGUGAGACUGAUACUGUUUUAUGGGUGAGAUUUGCAACAUGGCAUCUCGCAAGGCUUUCAAAUGGUAGAGUCAAUUUUCUAUAGCAUGAGGAGACUAAUUUUCUGGUCUUCUCUAAGAAGGACCAUCAAUAUACUACAGUAUUGGUUGGUUUUAGUGUUCAUUUGUUUGAUUUUCAUUCCUCAAGCAGAGAAUGAAAAAGUGACGCAAACAAUAAAUAUGUUAUUACCACAA